GAUCAUGGCUCAGGAUGAACGCUGGCGGCGUGCUUAACACAUGCAAGUCGAGCGAAGCAGUUGAAAGAUUCUUCGGAUGAUUUUUAAUUGACUGAGCGGCGGACGGGUGAGUAACGCGUGGGUGACCUGCCCCAUACCGGGGGGAUAACAGCUGGAAACGGCUGCUAAUACCGCAUAAGCGCACAGAGCUGCAUGGCUCAGUGUGAAAAACUCCGGUGGUAUGGGAUGGGCCCG
This 234-nucleotide ribosomal RNA is filed under the name uncultured bacterium. Its description in RNAcentral is "partial 16S ribosomal RNA". It matches the Rfam family "Bacterial small subunit ribosomal RNA", at positions 15 to 233 of the family's 1533-position model. The record is from RNAcentral.